RNAcentral lists this ribosomal RNA (480 nucleotides) under uncultured bacterium. Its description in RNAcentral is "bacterial SSU rRNA". It matches the Rfam family "Bacterial small subunit ribosomal RNA", at positions 17 to 518 of the family's 1533-position model. The record is from RNAcentral.
UUAUGGCUCAGGAUGAACGCUGGCGGCGUGCCUAACACAUUCAAGUCGAACGAACCGUAGAAAUACGGUGAGUGGCGGACGGGUGAGUAACGCGUAAGCAAUCUGCCUUUUGUGUGUGGAAUAACAACCGGAAACAGUUGCUAAUACCGCAUAACGCACAGAGAUCGCAUGUUUUUUGUGCCAAAGAUUUAUCGCACGAAGAUGAGCUUGCGUCCGAUUAGAUAGUUGGCGGGGUAACGGCCCACCAAGUCGACGAUCGGUAGCCGGACUGAGAGGUUGAACGGCCACAUUGGAACUGAGAUACGGUCCAGACUCCUACGGGAGGCAGCAGUGGGGAAUAUUGGGCAAUGGACGAAAGUCUGACCCAGCGACGCCGCGUGAGGGAAGAAGGUCUUCGGAUUGUAAACCUUAGUCAACAGGGACGAAGCAAGUGACGGUACCUGUGGAGGAAGCCACGGCUAACUACGUGCCAGCCGCCGC